Anas platyrhynchos (mallard) is the source of this 1604-nucleotide long non-coding RNA. RefSeq lists it as uncharacterized. The record is from RefSeq and is a predicted model, not a curated record. Lineage: Eukaryota; Metazoa; Chordata; Aves; Anseriformes; Anatidae.
GGCCCGGUGCUCAGCAGCCCCCCGCGGCCGGGCUCCGCCGCCGCCCUCCCCGGGAGCUCCCCCGCCGCCGCCAACUGCUCCGCGGGGAGACGCCGCGCCCUGCGCCGCCUUCCCAUUGGUUCAGAGCGCUGUCGGACUCUUCUAACGACAGCGACCGGCGUGCCCGGGGCAUGGACCGACAGUCACGCAGCCCCUGCGCCUCCACCGUGGCGAAUGGUUGCCCACUGGCACCUUAGCAGUGGCCACUUGUCCUCUUGAGUAUCCACACGGGGCUUUUGUCAACCUGCUGAAGGUGUUGGUACCAAUGAAAACUACCCCUCUCCUUAAGAAGAAAACAGAAAAUAAAUAAAAAGCAACACUGUGAGCUUCAGGAGGUGCCCAGGUGCUUUGAGAAAAGGCAGCAGAAGCCCAGCUCUGCACCCUCAGUGGCAACGCUGCUGCUUUUCAGGGAGGUGACCCAAAUGUAGGGCGUUUUCCUGUAAGCCUUAGCAGACAAGGGGCUGCUGCCAGCUGGGCAUUGCGUCCUCAGGCAGCCCCACUACGACAGGCACACCAGGCUCUCCGGAGAAGCACUGGAGCUCUUGGCAGAAUCUGGGCUGAUUUUUCCACCCCAAUUCACGCUGUGCUUUUGACACAACUACGAUGUCACGGGGAAAAAAAUCCUGCAUAAAUUGUUAAUGACGAUUCCCUUCCUGCAGUAAUUUGGGAAUAGUAUUUGUCGUAUCCUGGGGAAGCUCUGGAAAUUCCUUUCCUAUCACUUUGCUCAGUUUAUUUUUAUUUAAUCUCGGAUAUUUCUUAAUAUUUUAUGUAUGUGUAACAGACAAAGCAACCGAGUUGGCAUCGAAGCCGUCCAGGCUGCCACUAGAGGGCAAAGCAAGCUAAAUCAUUUUCAUCUCUAGAGCAACAAAGAAAACAGCGUCAUCCCCAGCUGGCCUCCGCUCCCCACAGAAGGGGCUGGUUUCCCUGCGUCAGCUCCUCGGGGAGCUGUGGCCAAAAAGCCAGCGCCGAGGGGAAGUUCCAGCGUUAUCAGCCCGCAGCCCACGGAGGAUGUGCCUGCCGCCAGUGCCAGUCACCGUGACUCGGCGCGCAGCGUCGGCCUGCCGAGUGCUCCAGAGAGAGCAGCAGGGCUCCUCCUCACACCAGCUGUGGAACCCAGUGACCCAAAUCUCAUCUCCCAGAGAGCGUCAGAGCAGCUCCUCAGAGCACAACCUUCUGACAGUGAAAUGUGAAACGGACAGCAAGAGAAAUAACGAGCAAGGCGCUGGGUGUGCUCAGAAAGGAAAAAAAAUCUUAAGAGUAAAUACAUCCAGUCUCCAUUAACACUUCAAAUCAGUUUCUUAAACAUCUUUUUAGGACUGGGUGCCUCUGAAUCUGACAGUUAAAUUUCUUUCAGACACACCACAAAGACACACUUGUUAAGUAUUUCCAACUGAGCACGAGUGAUUGCUGCGUGUCUCACUUUCCCACCUGUCAAAUUUGCGAUGAAGCAUCACAACAUUUACGCAGAUUGCUUCUCUACGAGAUGAAAUGCUGACAAUUUUGUUUCAGCCACUGUACCUCUCCCUCGGAAAGGAAGUAAAAAUAAAUGCCUUGAGGGUAACUGC